UUACGGCCAUAUCACGUUGAAACACCAGUUUUCGUUCGGUCACCGAAGUUAAGCAACUUUGAGACUGGUCAGUACCUACAUUGGUGACCGCUUGGGAAUAUCAGGUGCUGUAA
This is a non-coding RNA of Acanthosepion pharaonis, 113 nucleotides long. NCBI's taxonomy places the organism in Eukaryota, Metazoa, Mollusca, Cephalopoda, Sepiida, Sepiidae. The record is from the annotation of a GenBank genome assembly.